RNAcentral lists this signal recognition particle RNA (99 nucleotides) under Clostridium sp. Its description in RNAcentral is "signal recognition particle sRNA small type". It matches the Rfam family "Bacterial small signal recognition particle RNA". From Rfam's summary of the family: The signal recognition particle (SRP) is a universally conserved ribonucleoprotein involved in the co-translational targeting of proteins to membranes. Archaeal SRP consists of a 7S RNA and homologues of the eukaryotic SRP19 and SRP54 proteins. In most bacteria, the SRP consists of a 4.5S RNA and the Ffh protein (a homologue of the eukaryotic SRP54 protein). Lineage: Bacteria; Bacillati; Bacillota; Clostridia; Eubacteriales; Clostridiaceae. RNAcentral also lists the same sequence under 4 other names. The record is from RNAcentral.
GGGCGGGCUCUGUGCGACGGAGCGCCGUGAACCAUGUCAGGCGGGGAACCGAGCAGCAUUAAGCGGAAGAGCCCGUGCGAUGCAGGUGGUCCGUUCGUC